UAUGGCCAUACCACGUUGAAACAACCAUUCUCACACGAUCACCAAAGUUAAGCAACGUCGAACUGAGUCAGUACCAAAAUGGGUGACCGCUUGCGAAUAUCAGGUGCUGUCAG
Non-coding RNA from Acanthosepion pharaonis, 113 nucleotides. The record is from the annotation of a GenBank genome assembly. Lineage: Eukaryota; Metazoa; Mollusca; Cephalopoda; Sepiida; Sepiidae.